RNAcentral lists this ribosomal RNA (468 nucleotides) under uncultured bacterium. RNAcentral describes it as "partial 16S ribosomal RNA". It matches the Rfam family "Bacterial small subunit ribosomal RNA", at positions 28 to 507 of the family's 1533-position model. The record is from RNAcentral.
GACGAACGCUGGCGGCGUGCUUAACACAUGCAAGUCGAACGGAAAGGCCCUGCUUUUGUGGGGUGCUCGAGUGGCGAACGGGUGAGUAACACGUGAGUAACCUGCCCUUGACUUUGGGAUAACUUCAGGAAACUGGGGCUAAUACCGGAUAGGAGCUCCUGCUGCAUGGUGGGGGUUGGAAAGUUUCGGCGGUUGGGGAUGGACUCGCGGCUUAUCAGCUUGUUGGUGGGGUAGUGGCUUACCAAGGCUUUGACGGGUAGCCGGCCUGGGAGGGUGACCGGCCACAUUGGGACUGAGAUACGGCCCAGACUCCUACGGGAGGCAGCAGUGGGGAAUAUUGCACAAUGGGCGGAAGCCUGAUGCAGCAACGCCGCGUGCGGGAUGACGGCCUUCGGGUUGUAAACCGCUUUCGCCUGUGACGAAGCGUGAGUGGCGGUAAUGGGUAAAGAAGCACCGGCUAACUACGUG